CCCUUAGAUGUUCUGGGCCGCACGCGCGCUACACUGACGAUGGCAACGAGUUUUUCCUUCGCCGAAAGGUGUGGGUAAUCUUUUGAAACAUCGUCGUGCUGGGGAUAGAUCAUUGCAAUUUUUGAUCUUGAACGAGGAAUUCCUAGUAAGCGCGUGUCAUCAGCUCGCGUUGAUUACGUCCCUGCCCUUUGUACACACCGCCCGUCGCUACUACCGAUUGAAUGGUUUAGUGAGGACUCCUGAUUGGCGCCGCCGCCCCGGCAACGGAGCAGCGGACUGCCGAAAAGUUGUUCAAACUUGAUCAUUUAGAGGAAGUAAAAGUCGUAACA
Molecule: ribosomal RNA, 329 nt
Filed under: uncultured eukaryote
Lineage: Eukaryota
Description: partial 18S ribosomal RNA
Rfam family: Eukaryotic small subunit ribosomal RNA
Source: RNAcentral